AACGAACGCUGGCGGCAUGCCUAACACAUGCAAGUCGAACGAGACCUUCGGGUCUAGUGGCGCACGGGUGCGUAACGCGUGGGAACCUGCCCUUAGGUUCGGAAUAACUCCCCGAAAGGGGUGCUAAUACCGGAUAAUGUCUUCGGACCAAAGAUUUAUCGCCUUUGGAUGGGCCCGCGUUGGAUUAGCUAGUUGGUAGGGUAAAAGCCUACCAAGGCGACGAUCCAUAGCUGGUCUGAGAGGAUGAUCAGCCACACUGGGACUGAGACACGGCCCAGACUCCUACGGGAGGCAGCAGUGGGGAAUAUUGGACAAUGGGCGAAAGCCUGAUACAGCAAUGCCGCGUGAGUGAUGAAGGCCUUAGGGUUGUAAAGCUCUUUUACCCGGGAUGAUAAUGACAGUACCGGGAGAUUAAGCUCCGGCUAACUCCGUG
Molecule: ribosomal RNA, 433 nt
Filed under: uncultured bacterium
Lineage: Bacteria
Description: partial 16S ribosomal RNA
Rfam family: Bacterial small subunit ribosomal RNA
Source: RNAcentral